GCGCACCAGUCGAGAAACUUUACAAUGUGCGAAAGCACGAUAAGGGAACUCUGAGUGCCUCCUAAGGAGGCUGUUCAGGUGUCUAAAAGCACCUGAAGGAAGGGCUAGGUAAGACCGGUGCCAGCCGCCGCGGUAACACCGGCAGCCCAAGUGGUAGCCACGUUUAUUGGGUCUAAAGCGUCCGUAGCCGGCUGGGUAAGUUCCUUGGGAAAUUUGGCUGCUUAACAGUCAAGCUUUCAGGGAAUACUGCCCGGCUUGGGACCGGGAGAGGUCAGAGGUACUCCAGGGGUAGGGGUGAAAUCCAUUAAUCCUUGGGGGACCACCGGUAGCGAAGGCGUCUGACCAGACCGGGUCCGACGGUGAGGGACGAAGGCUAGGGGGCGCGAACCGGAUUAGAUACCCCCGUAGU
Molecule: ribosomal RNA, 409 nt
Filed under: uncultured microorganism
Description: bacterial SSU rRNA
Rfam family: Archaeal small subunit ribosomal RNA
Source: RNAcentral